RNAcentral lists this long non-coding RNA (1461 nucleotides) under Oryza sativa (Asian cultivated rice). RNAcentral describes it as "long non-coding RNA (OSAT_LNC000617)". The record is from RNAcentral. Lineage: Eukaryota; Viridiplantae; Streptophyta; Magnoliopsida; Poales; Poaceae.
GAGGGCAAAACGAUAUUGUUGAUAGGUUUAUUUGUUCCCAUUUGUGAUGCAGGGCAUAUUUAUGCGAUUUGGGGCUUUCGUUCAUUAUAUCAAGCUUAGGAUACCUUUGACAUGUAUGUAAUGAUUCUCUUUGGUUGCCAAGGUAAAGUUCUUCUUGGGCUGAUUCAGUUCAUAUUAUGUACACAAGAAACAUAAUAGUGCAGAUCCAACUCAAAGCCUUUCAGACCAUACUAUAAAUGCCCUAAAUGCCCUACUGUUCUUUAUUUAUCAGUGCUUAUAAGCUUCUCCAGAUGCAGGUAUCCCUCCCAGUGCAUAUGAAGUGGAACAUAUCUAUGUAAGUUUUGUUUUGCCUCGAUACGAAUCAAUUACUUUUUUUGAACAUCAUACGAAGUCAUUGUAACCUAUUUAGAACUGGAAUUUUAACAAAGAUUGUCCUAUGCUGUAGCCAUGGGACUUUUUUUUAUUAUACACCAGCUUGCACGAGGUGCAUUAGUCUUUGUCGCCUAAUUUGGUUCCUCUUCUUAGCUAGAGGUAUACUAAGAAAUACUAGCUAGGUUCUCUCUGUACGAGCACUAAUGCAUUUUUGGGAAGUAUGGUAUCUCAUCUGAGGUGUGUGAAUUUAGGCAAUAAAGAAAAACAUAUACUCAUGUUGUAGUUUUUGUUUAGAAUUGAAAUAGUUAUUGAUAAGAGAAAUAUGCUUAACAUGCUACAUGCAUAGUCAUAUUGCUAAAAUGUGACAUUUCAUAUUGAAGACUAUAUACUAUUUAAGCAGCUACCUGUGUUCCAAAACUAUCAAAUAUUUUAUUUCAAAUGGUCAGGUAGGCUUACAGUUAUUGACAACCAGUUGGGGAUACUAGGAUAUUGGAUGAGGUAGUUCUUAUAGUGUAGGAACUACAAUCCAUUGACAGUGUUUGGAACUUACUGACAAUGAUAGUGGACAUACUGGUAUUUGAAUAAUGUCCCAUGUGUUUUAUUGCUAAUUUUUGUUUAAACAAAUUGUUCAUGAUAGUUGGGAAGUACAGCUGGCCCAAUGUGUUAUGGGGAACAAAAGCAAUUGUUAAUUGUUGCUUUCUCAUGAAAAGGAUGUAAUUAAUUAUCUGGAACCAAUGUGGAAUAGUUAUUCUCCUUCAAGUUUUGUCUUAAUAUCCAACAGAUGGAUAUAAAAUUGAAACCACUUUCUAUGCAUGAAACACUUAUUUUUCUUCUUUUUUAGGCCAGUUGAUCUAUGAUGGGAUUCUUUGACCAACGAUGGAAUGUUCGUUAGUGCCUUUUUUUCCAAGCUUAUAAACCUGAAAUGUGUCUGCAUAUUCUGGAAAAAGGAUAUUCAGAUAAUAUCAUUACUUUAAAAUAAUCUACAUAUUCUGAAUUUAAAUAGCAAGUGGACAAUACAAACUUAUAAAUUAUAUGUUCCCUUUUAUUCCUUGGCAUGGAAUGUAAAUCAGCAACCACAUGUUCCAUCUG